AACCCUCCAAGGUCACCAGGGACACCCUUCUAAGACCCUCCAGGAAUCUGCAAUCCCAUUCUCUACCUCUGGAGAUCAGCAUGGCGGAUGAGAGCAGCGAUGCGGCUGGGGAACCCCAGCCGGCGCCUGCUCCUGUCCGACGUCGCUCCUCGGCCAACUACCGAGCCUAUGCCACCGAGCCACAUGCCAAGGUGGGGAGGGGUCCUAGAGGACGGUACUUCUGGGUUCAGAAUCCUCUGGGACCCCAGGGGCGGCACCAAGGCCUUGGAAAGGGGUGGAGCCCGAUGGGUGGGGCAGAAUUUCAAAGAGGUACAGGUUGGGGUUGGUGACAGCUGCCUGUGGGAGAAACUCCUCUGCCUACAGCAAGGCAUAGGCGUGAGCACGGUGAUUAGCAGUGGAUAGAUAGGCAGUGUGUAGCUCUAGUCAGAGACAAAGAUUGGUGGAUGGGACCGAAGGACGUGGCUUCCAGUGGACUCAGCAUUCUGGUUGAAGAAUGGGUGAGCCGAAUGGUUAUGCACUUGAGUGGGUGGUGGUGCCUUGCAGCCCCGCCCAAUGUCCACUUUGGGACCUCUCACUGACCUUUCUCCCUAUCACCCUGGCAGAAAAAGUCUAAGAUCUCCGCCUCCAGAAAACUUCAGUUGAAGGUGAUGAAGAGCUCGGAGGGGUGGGCCUUGGUGGGCGGAGCUUUUGGGGAGUGGUUUCGUUUCGGAGUGCGUCAGUCCCCCUACACACACACACACACACACACACACACACACACACACACACACGUGCGCGUGCACAGAACACAGAAACGGGGAAGGUUUUUUUUUUUUAAUAAAAGACACAAACUUGGAUGUUUGGAUAUUCUGUCUCUCUGGAAGAUAGCGAGAUAGAGGGAAAUUUGUUAUUCUUAUACUUUCGGGGACCCUGUUUUCGGCUCCCACCAUUCCGCAGACUCUGAUGCUGCAGAUUGCGAAGCAGGAGAUGGAGCGUGAGGCAGAGGAGCGACGUGGAGAGAAGGGCCGCGUUCUGAGCACGCGUUGCCAGCCCUUGGUGUUGGAUGGGCUGGGCUUUGAAGAGCUUCAGGUAUCAGUUUACCAAGCAGGAAUUCCUGAUGAGCCUGGGUCCCGAUGUUUCUCAUCUCGGCCCUGGCAUCUCUUGGGUAUCAGGAGCACAAGAACCAUCCCCAGUUCUGCUCAGGAUCUGCAAUCCUUAUGCCAAGCUAUACAUUCAGUCUUACAAUUCAAAAUCCAGUGUAUUUUUCCUGCCUUUGUCUGCUAAGUCUCAGAAUUCUUGGCUCCUGGCCAUUUUUUUUUUUAAGUUCCCUAGAGUGCGGAUUCCAGUGUCAGCUUCCUUUCACCCCCUCCUUCUUCAGACUCAGGAGUCCAGACCCCAGCACUCCUCUCUCAAACUCAGGGGUCCAGAGCCUAGGCCUCCUUCCUCAGACCGGGAGGUCUCCUUUCUCAGAUCAGAGACCUGAGUCUCCAGCCUUCCUCUCAACGCCCAUGCAUUCCUUCACCAGGACCUAUGCCGGCAGCUUCACGCUCGUGUGGACAAAGUGGAUGAAGAGAGAUACGACGUGGAAGCAAAAGUCACCAAGAACAUCACUGAGGUGGGAAGCCUGGGGAAGUCUGAGCACCUUCACUGUAGACCGAGAUGUCCAGGACUGUAGCUUCAGACUGAGGGCUAUGUCUGUGUGUACUUUAGACAACUCUAAGCAGAAGGCAGGCAGUGGCAAAGGCAGCUGUUCCCACAGAGAGACAACACGUGCAAGGUAGA
Molecule: long non-coding RNA, 1761 nt
Filed under: Rattus norvegicus (Norway rat)
Lineage: Eukaryota; Metazoa; Chordata; Mammalia; Rodentia; Muridae
Description: long non-coding RNA NONRATT002292
Source: RNAcentral